UACAGAGGGUGCAAGCGUUAAUCGGAAUUACUGGGCGUAAAGCGUGCGUAGGCGGUUAUGUAAGUCAGGUGUGAAAGCCCCGGGCUCAACCUGGGAAUGCCAUUUGAGACUGCAUAGCUAGGGUACGGAAGAGGGAAGCGGAAUUUCAGGUGUAGCGGUGAAAUGCGUAGAUAUCUGAAGGAACACCAGUGGCGAAAGCGGCUUCCUGGUCCAGUACCGACGUUCAGGCACGAAAGCGUGGGGAGCAAACAGG
This 253-nucleotide ribosomal RNA is filed under the name uncultured bacterium. Its description in RNAcentral is "partial 16S ribosomal RNA". It matches the Rfam family "Bacterial small subunit ribosomal RNA", at positions 524 to 776 of the family's 1533-position model. The record is from RNAcentral.